CCUACGGGUGGCAGCAGUAGGGAAUUUUGCGCAAUGGGCGAAAGCCUGACGCAGCAACGCCGCGUGAUCGAGACGCCCUUCGGGGUGUAAAGAUCUGUCAGUGGGGACGAAACUUGACGGUACCCACAGAGGAAGCACCGGCUAACUCCGUGCCAGCAGCCGCGGUAAUACGGGGGGCGCAAGCGUUGUCCGGAAUCAUUGGGCGUAAAGCGUUCGUAGGCGGGACGUAAAGUAAGGGGUUAAAGGCAUAGGCUCAACUUCUGUACGGUACUUGAUACUUGCGAGCUAGAGUGCGGUAGAGGUAAAGGGAAUGCCUGGUGUAGCGGUGAAAUGCUUAGAUAUCAGGAGGAACAUCGGUGGCGUAGGCGCUUUACUGGGCCGUAAUUGACGCUGAGGAACGAAAGCCAGGGGAGCAAAUGGGAUUAGAUACCCUUGUAGUC
Molecule: ribosomal RNA, 440 nt
Filed under: uncultured bacterium
Lineage: Bacteria
Description: partial 16S ribosomal RNA
Rfam family: Bacterial small subunit ribosomal RNA
Source: RNAcentral